GUCUACGGCCAUACCACCCUGAACACGCCCGAUCUCGUCUGAUCUCGGAAGCUAAGCUGGGUCGAGCCUGGUUAGUAUUUGGAUGGGAGAAAUGAUCUCUACACUGUCUGCUUUGGAAC
Molecule: ribosomal RNA, 119 nt
Organism: Erinaceus europaeus (western European hedgehog)
Lineage: Eukaryota; Metazoa; Chordata; Mammalia; Eulipotyphla; Erinaceidae
Source: Ensembl